Molecule: long non-coding RNA, 244 nt
Organism: Piliocolobus tephrosceles (Ugandan red Colobus)
Lineage: Eukaryota; Metazoa; Chordata; Mammalia; Primates; Cercopithecidae
Exons: 2
Source: RefSeq, a predicted model, not a curated record
GGCAGGGGCCUGGCGUGCUGGUUCAGUCCUGUGCGCACUCGGAAUGGGGCCGGGAACGGCUGAGCCUCAGGGCGAUCCUGAUGUGGGGCCCUGCGACCGCUCACUGCGGGUGAAGAGACCCAGGCGCAGACAGCGCAGGCGUGAGGCUGUGUGACUCGCGAGAUGGACCGGGUUAAAUGCAGAGGCAGAUAUGAAAAUCCAGCCAUCUUAAGCCAGACAUUAAAGAUAUUUGCAAAGUGGCCAA